RNAcentral lists this ribosomal RNA (253 nucleotides) under uncultured prokaryote. RNAcentral's name for it is "partial 16S ribosomal RNA". It matches the Rfam family "Bacterial small subunit ribosomal RNA", at positions 524 to 776 of the family's 1533-position model. The record is from RNAcentral.
UACGUAGGCAGCAAGCGUUGUUCGGAGUUACUGGGCGUAAAGGGUGCGUAGGCGGUUUGGUAAGUCAUCUGUGAAAUCUAUGGGCUCAACCCAUAGUCUGCAGGCGAAACUGCCGGGCUUGAGUAUUGGAGAGGUGAGUGGAAUUUCCGGUGUAGCGGUGAAAUGCGUAGAUAUCGGAAGGAACACCUGUGGCGAAAGCGGCUCACUGGACCACAACUGACGCUGAGGCGCGAAAGCUAGGGGAGCAAACAGG